This 427-nucleotide ribosomal RNA is filed under the name uncultured Comamonadaceae bacterium. RNAcentral describes it as "partial 16S ribosomal RNA". It matches the Rfam family "Bacterial small subunit ribosomal RNA", at positions 355 to 774 of the family's 1533-position model. The record is from RNAcentral. Lineage: Bacteria; Pseudomonadati; Pseudomonadota; Betaproteobacteria; Burkholderiales; Comamonadaceae.
UGGGGAAUUUUGGACAAUGGGCGCAAGCCUGAUCCAGCCAUUCCGCGUGCAGGAUGAAGGCCUUCGGGUUGUAAACUGCUUUUGUACGGAACGAAAAGGCUCUGGUUAAUACCUGGGGCUCAUGACGGUACCGUAAGAAUAAGCACCGGCUAACUACGUGCCAGCAGCCGCGGUAAUACGUAGGGUGCAAGCGUUAAUCGGAAUUACUGGGCGUAAAGCGUGCGCAGGCGGUGAUGUAAGACAGAGGUGAAAUCCCCGGGCUCAACCUGGGAACUGCCUUUGUGACUGCAUCGCUGGAGUACGGCAGAGGGGGAUGGAAUUCCGCGUGUAGCAGUGAAAUGCGUAGAUAUGCGGAGGAACACCGAUGGCGAAGGCAAUCCCCUGGGCCUGUACUGACGCUCAUGCACGAAAGCGUGGGGAGCAAACA